UGAUGUUCUUUUUUGUAAAGUGUCUUGAUUCCAUUGUCUUGAUGGAUAAAAAUGCAUAGACACACAUGCACACAUCAUCAACUUUACCAUCAUCAACAAACAAAUAU
RNAcentral lists this microRNA precursor (107 nucleotides) under Microtus ochrogaster (prairie vole). RNAcentral describes it as "miRNA (ENSMOCG00000003590.1)". Lineage: Eukaryota; Metazoa; Chordata; Mammalia; Rodentia; Cricetidae. The record is from RNAcentral.